CCCCCCUGUUUUAGUUACAAAGUGCCGUAACUCAAAAAGUUUUAAUCUUAUUUUGACCGAAAAGUAUACAGAUCAUUUGACUAUCAUAAGAAACAACUACAAUAAGUUUCGUGAAAUUUGGAUAAGUCGUUCUCAAGUUACGGCGCGACAUGUUUACGCCGGACAGACGGACGACAGACGGACGGACACCGGACAUUUGUAUAACAUAAUACGUCCCGUCAAAAUUU
RNAcentral lists this long non-coding RNA (227 nucleotides) under Mytilus galloprovincialis (Mediterranean mussel). Lineage: Eukaryota; Metazoa; Mollusca; Bivalvia; Mytilida; Mytilidae. The record is from RNAcentral.